RNAcentral lists this ribosomal RNA (708 nucleotides) under uncultured Chloroflexota bacterium. RNAcentral's name for it is "bacterial SSU rRNA". It matches the Rfam family "Bacterial small subunit ribosomal RNA", at positions 116 to 846 of the family's 1533-position model. The record is from RNAcentral. Lineage: Bacteria; Bacillati; Chloroflexota.
CGUAGGUGACGUGCCCCAAAGAGGAGAAUAACUACUGGAAACGGUGGCUAAUACUCCAUGUGCUCUGCGAUUCAGUUCGCUGAGUAAAGCUCCGGCGCUUUGGGAGGGGCCUGCGGCCCAUCAGGUAGUUGGUAGGGUAAUGGCCUACCAAGCCUAUGACGGGUAGGGGGCGUGAGAGCGUGACCCCCCACACUGGCACUGAGAUACGGGCCAGACUCCUACGGGAGGCAGCAGUGAGGAAUAUUGCCCAAUGGACGAAAGUCUGAGGCAGCAACGCCGCGUGGGCGAUGAAGGCCUUCGGGUUGUAAAGCCCUUUUCUGGGGGAAGAGGAAGGACGGUACCCCAGGAAUAAGUCACGGCUAACUACGUGCCAGCAGCCGCGGUAAUACGUAGGUGGCUAGCGUUAUCCGGAUUUACUGGGCGUAAAGCGCGUGCAGGCGGUUUCGUAAGUCGGACGUGAAAGCUCCUGGCUUAACUGGGAGAGGCCGUUCGAUACUGCGGAACUUGAGGUCGGGAGAGGGACGUGGGAUUCCCGGUGUAGUGGUGGAAUGCGUAGAUAUCGGGAGGAACACCAGUGGCGAAGGCGGCGUCCUGGCCCGCACCUGACGCUGAGACGCGAAAGCGUGGGUAGCGAACGGGAUUAGAUACCCCGGUAGUCCACGCCGUAAACGGUGGAUACUAGGUGUUGGCGGCUAUCGUCGUCAGUGC